AGCUCCAAGAGCGUAUAUUAAAGUUGUUGCAGUUAAAAAGCUCGUAGUUGGAUUUCUGGUACAAUGCGCCUGGCCCGCAAUUUGUGAGUGCCGGCGCGCGUUUGCCAUCCUUCUAGAAAACGUUUCUACCCGGGCAACUGGGCCGGACUCGCGAUCUAGAUCUUUUACUUUGAAAAAAUUAGAGUGUUUAAAGCAGGCUUUUGCUGUGAAUACAUUAGCAUGGAAUAAUAAUCUAGGACUUCGGUUCUAUUUUGUUGGUUUCUAGUACUGAAGUAAUGAUUGAUAGGGAUAGUUGGGGGUGCUAGUAUUGGCCGGCCAGAGGUGAAAUUCUUGGAUUCGGUCAAGACUAACUUAUGCGAAAGCAUUCACCAAGGAUGUCUUCUUUA
Molecule: ribosomal RNA, 386 nt
Filed under: Cryothecomonas sp.
Lineage: Eukaryota; Cercozoa; Thecofilosea; Cryomonadida; Protaspidae
Description: partial small subunit ribosomal RNA
Rfam family: Eukaryotic small subunit ribosomal RNA
Source: RNAcentral